RNAcentral lists this ribosomal RNA (253 nucleotides) under uncultured bacterium. Its description in RNAcentral is "partial 16S ribosomal RNA". It matches the Rfam family "Bacterial small subunit ribosomal RNA", at positions 524 to 776 of the family's 1533-position model. The record is from RNAcentral.
UACAGAGGGUGCGAGCGUUAAUCGGAAUUACUGGGCGUAAAGCGUGCGUAGACGGCUAUCUAAGUCGGGUGUGAAAGCCCCGGGCUCAACCUGGGAAUUGCAUUCGAGACUGAAUAGCUAGGGUACGGUAGAGGGAAGCGGAAUUUCCGGUGUAGCGGUGAAAUGCGUAGAUAUCGGAAGGAACAUCAGUGGCGAAAGCGACUUCCUGGACCAAUACUGACGCUCAUGUGCGAAAGCGUGGGGAGCAAACAGG